GCUGGGCGUGGUAGUGCACGCCUGUAGUACCAGCUACUUGGGAGGCUGAGGUGGGAGGAUCACUUGAGCCUAGGAGUUUAAGGCUGCAGUGAGCUGUGAUUGCACCACAGCACUCCAGCCUGGGCAACAGAGCAAGAUCCCAACUUUU
This is an unclassified non-coding RNA of Pongo abelii (Sumatran orangutan), 148 nucleotides long. It matches the Rfam family "Metazoan signal recognition particle RNA". From Rfam's summary of the family: The signal recognition particle (SRP) is a universally conserved ribonucleoprotein. It is involved in the co-translational targeting of proteins to membranes. Lineage: Eukaryota; Metazoa; Chordata; Mammalia; Primates; Hominidae. The record is from Ensembl.